This 497-nucleotide ribosomal RNA is filed under the name uncultured bacterium. RNAcentral's name for it is "partial 16S ribosomal RNA". It matches the Rfam family "Bacterial small subunit ribosomal RNA", at positions 28 to 507 of the family's 1533-position model. The record is from RNAcentral.
GAUGAACGCUGGCGGCGUGCCUAAUACAUGCAAGUCGAGCGAACAGACGAGGAGCUUGCUCCUCUGACGUUAGCGGCGGACGGGUGAGUAACACGUGGAUAACCUACCUAUAAGACUGGGAUAACUUCGGGAAACCGGAGCUAAUACCGGAUAAUAUAUUGAACCGCAUGGUUCAAUAGUGAAAGACGGUUUUGAUGUCACUUAUAGAUGGAUCCGCGCCGCAUUAGCUAGUUGGUAAGGUAACGGCUUACCAAGGCGACGAUGCGUAGCCGACCUGAGAGGGGGAUCGGCCACACGGGAACUGAGACACGGUCCAUACUCCUACGGGAGGCAGCAGUAGGGAAUCUGCCGCAAUGGGCGAAAGCCUGACGGAGCAACGCCGCGUGAGUGAUGAAGGUCUUCGGAUCGGAAAGCUCUGUUAUUAGGGAAGAACAAAUGUGUGAGUAACUAUGCACGUCUUGACGGUACCUAAUCAGAAAGCCACGGCUAACUACGUG